GGCUGCUUACACAUGCAGUCGAACGAUGAACCGCUUUCGGGCGGGGAUUAGUGGCGAACGGGUGAGUAACACGUGGGCAAUCUGCCCUGCACUCUGGGACAAGCCCUGGAAACGGGGUCUAAUACCGGAUAUGACCGUCUGCCGCAUGGUGGAUGGUGUAAAGCUCCGGCGGUGCAGGAUGAGCCCGCGGCCUAUCAGCUUGUUGGUGAGGUAGUGGCUCACCAAGGCGACGACGGGUAGCCGGCCUGAGAGGGCGACCGGCCACACUGGGACUGAGACACGGCCCAGACUCCUACGGGAGGCAGCAGUGGGGAAUAUUGCACAAUGGGCGAAAGCCUGAUGCAGCGACGCCGCGUGAGGGAUGACGGCCUUCGGGUUGUAAACCUCUUUCAGCAGGGAAGAAGCGAAAGUGACGGUACCUGCAGAAGAAGCGCCGGCUAACUACGUGCCAGCAGCCGCGGUAAUACGUAGGGCGCAAGCGUUGUCCGGAAUUAUUGGGCGUAAAGAGCUCGUAGGCGGCUUGUCACGUCGGUUGUGAAAGCCCGGGGCUUAACCCCGGGUCUGCAGUCGAUACGGGCAGGCUAGAGUUCGGUAGGGGAGAUCGGAAUUCCUGGUGUAGCGGUGAAAUGCGCAGAUAUCAGGAGGAACACCGGUGGCGAAGGCGGAUCUCUGGGCCGAUACUGACGCUGAGGAGCGAAAGCGUGGGGAGCGAACAGGAUUAGAUACCCUGGUAGUCCACGCCGUAAACGGUGGGCACUAGGUGUGGGCAACAUUCCACGUUGUCCGUGCCGCAGCUAAC
This 799-nucleotide ribosomal RNA is filed under the name Streptomyces sp. D136. Its description in RNAcentral is "bacterial SSU rRNA". It matches the Rfam family "Bacterial small subunit ribosomal RNA", at positions 41 to 856 of the family's 1533-position model. Lineage: Bacteria; Bacillati; Actinomycetota; Actinomycetes; Kitasatosporales; Streptomycetaceae. The record is from RNAcentral.